AAGGGUCUAUAUUUAUCAGGGCCUUGACUUAAUCUGUAAAACAGGCACAUUGGGGCAGCAGACUUAAAAGCCUGCUGUGGAGUGUUAAGUGCAGUGAAAACGUUCAGUUGUCAUUAAUGAAGUGAGACACCCCAAGGUGGGCUCACAAUGCUGCAUCUGAUGACGUUGGAUGGGAGCCUUGUACACCUGCCGGAAGGUGCAUCCAAAGUGACUUUAUGGGGUGGUUCCUGUAGCAGCCGCUCAUAUGCUGCUCACAGGGAGCCAGACAGCUCCUUGUGGACCCUUGACACACAUGUAGUCACCAUCUUUCCUUUAAAAGACAGCAGGGAGGUCAGGCCUAUUGCUGCUCACUUUCUCGUGGUGAACGCAGCAGACAUGAAAGACAGCAGCCACUGGUCGCCAAUGCGUCUUUCUGCACGUCAGCGGUUUUGUGCGUUAGACUUUUCCAGCACUGCUUUGCAUCAGGGUGAGCUUGAGGAAUGAGCAUUUCUAAAUUUGGUAGCAAACAUUUGAGACUCCUGUGACUUUAGCCACAUUGGAGGAAUUAUUUAUUUUUAUAACAUAAAUGAGAUAGGCAGAUGUGAGUAUUUUUAGUCACAUGGGACCUUUGUCACGGAAGCAGGUAGCAGCCAAGACACACAUUAAACUGAACUCACGGUGCAGAGUUCAGAAUAAGACACAUGGACUUCAUCCUUCAGCCUUCAGAGACCCCCUAAGAAGCCAGGAGGCACUGGAGGUCUUGUUUGUUUCCUCCUGGUGGCUGUGGCAUCUGUAUCAAGGUCAUUUUGCAAAACAGCCCAGGGAUAAGAUCAGGUCCUGCAGAGCAGAAGAUGAUAUAUCGGCCCCCACCACUUCCCACCAGCCAAGUGCAUCUGUGGUUUUAAAUAUGUGUACCCUGGAAUUCUCCAGCUUUCUGGUAGUCUGUAUGGAUAGAAAAAAAGUCUAGAACUGUCCAGAUGCCUGUAACCCUGAAACAGGAAUGUUCCUGUGUGAAUUUUAUUACCAAAACAGGAUGUAAAGGGAGAGAGGCGGGAAUUUCUUGAUCCAAGGUGGCCCUUUUCUUGUAACUCACAGUCAAACUUUGUCAAGUUCUAGGUGAUGUUGCCCAAGGUGAUCUAUUUAUUUGUGUUAAUGUCUUGCUUUGUGAAUACUGUGCUUCAGGAAUUUAAAUAUUUAGGUGAGAUUGUCAUGUGUGAUUGAAUUGGCAGCAUAAUUUUACUGUUUGUAAAGCCUUUGGUUCCC
Molecule: long non-coding RNA, 1242 nt
Filed under: Marmota monax (woodchuck)
Lineage: Eukaryota; Metazoa; Chordata; Mammalia; Rodentia; Sciuridae
Source: RNAcentral